Molecule: ribosomal RNA, 466 nt
Filed under: uncultured bacterium
Lineage: Bacteria
Description: partial 16S ribosomal RNA
Rfam family: Bacterial small subunit ribosomal RNA
Source: RNAcentral
GAUGAACGCUGGCGGCGUGCUUAACACAUGCAAGUCGAACGGUGAAAGAGAGCUUGCUCUCUGGAUCAGUGGCGAACGGGUGAGUAACACGUGAGCAAUCUGCCCCUGACUCUGGGAUAAGCGCUGGAAACGGCGUCUAAUACCGGAUACGAGCUGCGAAGGCAUCUUCAGCAGCUGGAAAGAACUUCGGUCAGGGAUGAGCUCGCGGCCUAUCAGCUAGUUGGUGAGGUAACGGCUCACCAAGGCGUCGACGGGUAGCCGGCCUGAGAGGGUGACCGGCCACACUGGGACUGAGACACGGCCCAGACUCCUACGGGAGGCAGCAGGGGGGAAGAUUGCACCAUGGGCGAAAGCCUGAUGCAGCAACGCCGCGUGAGGGACGACGGCCUUCGGGUUGUAAACCUCUUUUAGCAGGGAAGAAGCGAAAGUGACGGUACCUGCAGAAAAAGCACCGGCUAACUACGUG